GCGGAGGAAAAGAAACCAACAGGGAUUGCCCUAGUAACGGCGAGUGAAGCGGCAACAGCUCAAAUUUGAAAUCUGGCUCUCUUUGGGGGUCCGAGUUGUAAUUUGCAGAGGAUGCUUUGGCAUUGGCGGCGGUCUAAGUUCCUUGGAACAGGACAUCACAGAGGGUGAGAAUCCCGUACGUGGUCGCCUGCCUUUGCCGUGUAAAGCUCCUUCGACGAGUCGAGUUGUUUGGGAAUGCAGCUCUAAAUGGGAGGUAAAUUUCUUCUAAAGCUAAAUACUGGCCAGAGACCGAUAGCGCACAAGUAGAGUGAUCGAAAGAUGAAAAGUACUUUGGAAAGAGAGUCAAAAAGCACGUGAAAUUGUUGAAAGGGAAGCGCUUGCAGCCAGACUUGCCCGCAGUUGCUCACCUAGGCUUUGGCCUGGGGCACUCUUCUGCGGGCAGGCCAGCAUCAGUUUGGGCGGUUGGAUAAAGGCCUCUGUCACGUAUCUCCCUUCGGGGUGACCUUAUAGGGGAGGCGCAAUGCAACCAGCCCGGACUGAGGUCCGCGCAUCUGCUAGGAUGCUGGCGUAAUGGCUGUAAGCGGCCCGUCUUGAAACACGGACCAAGGAGUCUAACAUCUAUGCGAGUGUUUGGGUGUCAAGCCCGAGCGCGCAAUGAAAGUGAACGGAGGUGGGAACCCUUUGGGUGCACCAUCGACCGAUCCUGAUGUCUUCGGAUGGAUUUGAGUAAGAGCAUAGCUGUUGGGACCCGAAAGAUGGUGAACUAUGCUUGAAUAGGGUGAAGCCAGAGGAAACUCUGGUGGAGGCUCGCAGCGGUUCUGACGUGCAAA
RNAcentral lists this small RNA (830 nucleotides) under Curreya pithyophila. Its description in RNAcentral is "eukaryotic LSU rRNA". It matches the Rfam family "Eukaryotic large subunit ribosomal RNA", at positions 50 to 897 of the family's 3401-position model. The record is from RNAcentral. Lineage: Eukaryota; Fungi; Ascomycota; Dothideomycetes; Pleosporales; Cucurbitariaceae.